Molecule: ribosomal RNA, 266 nt
Filed under: uncultured Staphylococcus sp.
Lineage: Bacteria; Bacillati; Bacillota; Bacilli; Caryophanales; Staphylococcaceae
Description: partial 16S ribosomal RNA
Rfam family: Bacterial small subunit ribosomal RNA
Source: RNAcentral
CGGCGGACGGGNGAGUAACACGUGGGUAACCUACCUAUAAGACUGGGACAACUUCGGGAAACCGGAGCUAAUACCGGAUAAGAUAUCGAACCGCAUGGUUCGAUAGUGAAAGAUGGUUUUGCUAUCACUUAUAGAUGGACCCGCGCCGUAUUAGCUAGUUGGUGAGGUAACGGCUCACCAAGGCAACGAUACGUAGCCGACCUGAGAGGGUGAUCGGCCACACUGGAACUGAGACACGGUCCAGACUCCUACGGGAGGGCAGCAGC